GUGCCAGCAGCCGCGGUAAUACGUAGGGUCCGAGCGUUGUCCGGAUUCAUUGGGCGUAAAGAGCUCGUAGGCGGUUUCGUAAGUCGGAUGUGAAAACUCAGGGCUCAACCCGGAGACGCCAUCCGAUACUGCGAUGACUGGAGUCUGGUAGGGGAGCACGGAAUACCUGGUGUAGCGGUGAAAUGCGCAGAUAUCAGGUGGAACACCGGUGGCGAAGGCGGUGCUCUGGGCCAGUACUGACGCUGAGGAGCGAAAGCGUGGGGAGCAAACAGGAUUAGAAACCCGAGUAGUCC
RNAcentral lists this ribosomal RNA (293 nucleotides) under uncultured bacterium. RNAcentral describes it as "partial 16S ribosomal RNA". It matches the Rfam family "Bacterial small subunit ribosomal RNA", at positions 505 to 796 of the family's 1533-position model. The record is from RNAcentral.